CUUAAUAGAUAUUUGUUGAAUAAAACAACAAGUGCUCAAUUUUUAAUGUCAUUAGAGUGAGUUUAAUUUUUUUUUUUCUCACCUUCCCUAGUGUGCUAUGAAUUAGUACACUGGAACAAACAUGUAGCCCUGAUGUUAUGCAGUUCCUUGACAAUUUAAGUGUGUCAGUAAGUACUCAGAACCAAGAUUUUCUAGGAAGAGCAAAUGAAAAGGCUAAAAAUCAAUACAGGCAGCAACCACUUCUUAUAAUCCCAAUUUUCAUAGAAAUUUAAC
RNAcentral lists this long non-coding RNA (273 nucleotides) under Bos taurus (domestic cattle). RNAcentral describes it as "long non-coding RNA NONBTAT025400". The record is from RNAcentral. Lineage: Eukaryota; Metazoa; Chordata; Mammalia; Artiodactyla; Bovidae.